GCAUGUGUGCUUUUAUAAGGUGUUGAUUCUGAUCGCCAUAUCGUCGGAUUUGAAGUUCUCACUGUUGAAAAUUCUGGUUUCCAGAUGGGCAUGCUUUUCCAAAACCGUGUUUUCUGAAAUAGCGUUGAGGGGGGAAUCCGUGAUAUUGAAAUGAAGGCUCCUUCGCUGGAAAAUUGAGAUGGUUGUUGACAGAUUUCUUGCAAAUAGUGUAAUAAUGGGUUGAGAAAGCAGCCUUGGAAGAAGGGGACAUUGACGGACUUGAAAGCCUAUCUAUUUUCUCUUCAGGUAAAUUGUUUUAGUUUGUGAGAUUAUGGAAUAGGAACAAAGUGGAAUUCAUAUAAAUUGGCUUAAUUGCCUGCUUUUUUUCCAGUGCUUUGGAGCUCUCAAACCCCCCAAAUAUAAUCAAGGUGCUAAUUUUUAAAUACAGUAUUUCUACUUGAGUCAGUUUUCCAUAAUGCUCAGAGCUCAACCUCAUGUAGUUGUUUGAAUGCAGUAAUCCAGGGCCAGCCUCUGCCAGAAAUUAGGCACUAUGGCCCUGUUUCAAAAGAGCACAUACAAACAAGAUGUUCUUGUGUGUAGAUGGGUAUAGUUUUAAGGGUAUAGUUUUACGUAUAUGCAUAUUGUGCUAUAGGAAUAUGAUUUUAGCUACUUGUAACAUUCUGGGUUGUAAGUCUUUGAAUAUAAGGAAAUAAAUAUACAUAUACUCCAGAUUUAAAGACCUAGAAUCCUGCUACAGUUAGUCAUGACUAAUGCCAUACACACUUACCUGGGAAUGAUUCCCACUGAACACAGUAGGACUUCCUGACUAAAUAUGUGUAGGAUCAUAUUGGACAUUCAAGUCAAAGCAAUGAAAAUUCAGUUUCAUUUGUUUCAAAGAGAUUUAGUAAAGACAAAAUUAGACAUAUUUGCCAGGUAGUGACCAAAACGUGUUGGGUAUCAUUUAUCCUGAAAAAUAAUUGCACAGUUUGUAGAGAAGAGACACUAACUUUUUAAAAUUGUAUGUGUUUUCAAGUAUUAUUACAGGUAGCAGGUCCUAGAUACCAAAGCAGUAGUAUACCCACAAGCAGAUUGUUUCGGUGCAGAAACUUAGGGGUAACACAUUUCUCCAUUAACUAAAAGUGUCAUUAAAUUCUUCAUUUACUAUAUGUUUAGGAAUUAUGGUAUGGUGAAUUUUUUUGUUAAAAAAUCCAGAAUACUUGACUUGUAUAAAAUAUAGGUUGAAAUGUUAUGAAUUUAAUUUCUUCACAUAAGAUGUAUUCUGAGAAAAAUGUUGGUAAAAAGUAUUUGCGGGCAAUUUAAAGUAUGUUGCAAAAAAAGCAUAAGAAUUAAUCUCAUAUUUCAUCUGUAAAUUAUUUACAAGCUAAAUACUUGUUUGGUCAUAAACUGUAUGUAGUUGUGCUCUUAAAUUUAAAUUUAGGGUGUUACUUAAAUAAACCUAAGUAAAUUAAUGGACCUAACUUAGUCAUAUUCAUUAAUUUCAGUGGGUCUACUCUGUGUAGUACCACCCUCUACAGGUUUUCAUUCAGUCAGGUCUAUACAUUAAAACAUAGUUUGAAGACUAUAACAAAACAAGUUUAGUUAAAUGUGGUUUUCUCAGAUAUUGAAAUAUUAAUAUAUUUUAAUAAGGCAGAUCCAAAAAAUAUCUGCUCAGAUACACUUUGCCUUGUGCAGUCAGGAUUUCCUUUUUAAAAUGUAGACUGUUCAUACUAAGUAUAAAUGUAAAGAGCCAAAUUGUGCCCUCCUGUGGAAAAAGCACAAAAAGCCCAGAAAACUUUUGAGUUAUUUCUAGGCAACCUUAGCAGGAAAUUCCCAUAUUUGCAAACCUGCAUUCUGAAAAUGAAUCCAGAAACAGACACUAACAUAUCCAUGCUGCCCUGUAAUUAAUACAGAAAUCAGCACUACUACGAAAGUUUAGAUGCAGGGUGAACAACAUAAAUACUGUACUGAGCAUCAUAUAUAAUAUCAUGAGUUGCAGAGUUACAGCCUAUUUACAAAGUUGUUUCUGAAUGUAUUAAGCAUAUUAUUUCCAUCAAGAGCAUACCUGGUGACCAAAGCUCCUAGACCUGUUAUACCUUUUGCAUAAUUUAAUAUAAUAAUUUCAAUAAACAAUUUUUCUAUUGAAAUUGAUACUUCUAAAGGAAAAGGACCACUGGACGGUUAAGUCCAGUCAAAUUUGACUAUGGGGUGCGGCGCUCAUCUCGCUUCAGGCCGAGGUAGCUGGCAUUUGUCCACAGACAGCAUUAAGGGUCAUGUGGCCAGCAUGACUAUACCACUUCUGGCACAGCGGUACACUGUGACGAGUGCCAGAGUGCACAGAAAUGCUGCUUACCAUCCCGCUGCAGCGGUUCCUAUUUAUCUACUCACGUUGGUAUGCUUUUGAACUGCUAAGGUUGGCAGGAGCUGGGACAGAGCAACAAGAGCAAACCCUGUCACUCGGAUUAAAACCAGCAAGUGGGUAGUGCUGUGGUCUAAACCAGGGGUCAGCAAGGUUUAUCUUGCCUGGGCCGGAUCGGUCAGGCAGAGAUCCCUCCGUGGGAUGGAUCAUGCACCCCCCGGCACAAUUUUUGGCAUCUGUGUCUGCGCAGAUGCAAUUUUGAAUGUCUGCGCAUGCGCAGAUGUGAUUUCCGGCACCGCAGAAGCGGGUCCCCGUGCCACACUGCGCCAGUUUAUCGCAGCACGCGAGCGGGCAGCUCUGUUCGUGGGCCAGUUGAACGACCUCUGCGGGCUGCUUCCAGCCCAUGGGCCUUAGGUUGCUGACCCCUGGUCUAAACUACUGAGCCUUUUGUUACUUCUAGAUGUCAGAAACAUUACACCAGUUGUAUCAGUAGUACAAAAUGAGUAAUACCCUCACUAAGAGAGUGUUGAGUUGGGAUACCAAAAUCUGGGUUCAAAUUCUUACUUGACUCUGAAAUUCACAGUGUAUCCUUGGGCAAGUUAACCAAGCCUAGCUUGCAAGAAGCCCAAAUAAUAGUCUUUUACUUUAAAGGCAAAGACUCAGGCAGCAGCAUUCAUGAACACAAUACAUUUUUUUAGUCUUUAAGGUGUCACAUGAUCCUUUUUGUAUUUGCUUUUAUACACUAACACAGCUAACCCACUGGAAUUUGCAAUUUCACAGGAUAAAAUGCUUUUCUAACCUUGGGAUACAAAUGGAGCAACUUAAGUGCAACAAAGAGUUUUCUGGCGCCAUAAAGACUAACAAGUUAAAAUACAUUAACUUUUAUUUAGAUGGUGAAUAGCUAAUCCAUAUACUACUCUAAUGCUUUUCAACUACUACAGUGACAACUUGACUGGUACAAACCUACAUGUCCAAUAUUUUAUAAUAAGGUUUUCACUUAUUGCAUACCUGCUUUGCUUGCCUUACACGUACAAAUGUAUCAACAAAUAGCUUUUUAGACUGGAAUAUAAUCUGGAAUUGAAGGUGAUUAAUUUGCAUUUGUAUAGUGUUUUGCAAGUUUAGGAAAUACUUGGGUUAAUGGAAUAAUUUAAAGUAAUAAGAACUGAGUGUUAUCUAAGAUAGUUUCAUAGUUACUUUGUGUAGAUAUGUCAAAAUAUUCAUGCAGCGGAGCAGAAAAAUAUUCAUUUUUUUGCAUUUUUCACACAUUCUCCUAUUUGUCAUGGUGUAAUGUUUUUAGAAUACAAUAGCCCUUUUUGGAGAAAGAGUAGGACUCUAUCAUGUCCUUGGGCCUGGGCCUACUUUACCACCCUCCAUUCCCGGUGGGGGGGGGGGGUGACACCUUUUCCUGAACUCAUGCAACUGGAAAAGGACAAUUGAAAUUAUCAAGCGGUUGGAGCAAUUCUCCUGUAUUGAAAAUAUCAUUUUGGGCUUUUUUAGUUUGAAAUGGAAGGGUUAUUAAGAGACAUUAUAUUAUGCAUAGUGUGGAGAAAGUGAAAUUUUUCUCACUUUCUCAUAAUACUUGGGGCCAUCCUAUGAAGCUGAAUGUUGGAAGUUUCAGACAGAAAAACAUUUGUAUUUUCUUACCUUUUCUUGCUUCCUCCUUACCUUGUCAUAGAUUUGUGAUUCUUUAUUCUUCCACAAAAAUGAUGCACUGCAAAUCCAUGUUUUAAGUAAUAAUACCUAAAAUAGAAUGUUUAAAAGUUUUAAUAUGCGAUAACAAUGCUUAUAACCUACUCUCAAUUUCCCUUGAACAAUGCAAAACCAGUCACCAAUUGCUAAUAAUGGUGAGAUUUUAGUCAUUCUCAGAGUAGAUGUACUGAAAUAAAUCAAGUCCAGUAACUUGUCCAUUCAUUUCAGUGAGUCUAUUCUGCAUCUAGUACCUUUAAAUUUUUUAUCUGAGAAAAAUUCUAGAUUGCAUAAUAUCAUAAAAAAAAUAAGCAGCAUUGAAGUAUACAAUAAAACAACAUACAAACAUUAAAAUCCUGAACUGAUUUAAGUCUGAAAUUCUAUAUACACUUGCUUGAUGGUAAGCUCCAUUUAAUUUAAUGGUUCUUAAUGGGUCUUACUUUUGAGUAGACAUGCAUAGCACUACAUUAUUAAAGUUUGCAGCCGUUCUGGAAGCACAUAAACAAAAGGCCCAUCAUUAGGUAAACCCAUAUGAUCCAGCCAAACAUCUCCUCAAGAGUACCUUUAAAAAAAAUCCAAAAUAUUUAAAUCCUAUAGAACUUAGCAAGGAUUAAGAGAACAACUGCCCCAUAGGACUUCAGAGAACUAAUUUCACGUGAUUAAUCAUUUUUUUAAAAAAAACCACACACCACAACUAUGUGUUUUACUCAGUUUAUAUUAGGUGUGUUUAGAAAUUACUCUUUCCUCACCUGCUCAUUGCCAUCAAUUACUCAGAAGGUAAUCCUUGUCUCUCAUAUGGGCUGAAUAUCUAAUGCUUGCUCAUUAAAUACACUUCAAAACCACCUUUUAAUUACAAAUACGCAAAGCAGUGAACAACAUUUAAGCAAAUGUCUCUCUUGAUAGUUCCCUUUUUUAUCUCAUUAUCAUGAAGAAAAUCUGGAAAUUACCCUUGCUUGAAUAGUGAUACUGAUGUCAAAUGGCGCUCCCAACAGACCUUACAAUAUGCUAUAUCCUCAAAAUAAUUAAGAGGGACUCAUAAAGUCUCCUAAGAUAUAGCUAUGAAGCCCUGUAAGAUUUCCAGAGUGGCCCUAUGACUUGAAGAAAUCCUUCGCCUUUCUAUUCCCCUCAGACAACGGACUAGGCCACUAAACAACUUUUAGGAAAGAGUCCAUAUUUGCCCUCAAAUAUUUACCUCAGGUUUGACCAUUUUCUUUCAUAGAUGUAUACUUUAACAUUUUUACAAUGAUAUUAUGGAUUCAUUUAUAACGUUUUUAAAAAAGAAAUAUGCAAAUUAAUGGAUAACAAUAAGUCAUCUUCCUUUUUUAUCUGGGUAAUGGUACGGUCCAGUGAAGUUUCUCUCAGGAGAAUGAAGAGAAAUGAUUCUGUUUCUUCUGUUGUGCCAAAGCAUACAGAACCCAAGAAUCAGACAGCUAGAUCACACUUAAUAUGAGAUUUUAAAGAAAUUAUUGGCUUUUAAAGAUUCUCAUAAUCUUUUAAACAUUAAUUUGUGUAUUCAGAAAUAUAUGUCACUCCAUGAUGCAUUUUUUUAAAAAACAGAACUGCUAUUAAAAAAAACAACCCAAAAAACCAUAACAACAUAAAGAAUGUGAUUUGUAAUUUAAACACAUACACAUCCUUUUUCACGUAAUAUAUGCAGUUCUAGACAUUAAUGUUCAUUAAUGCUUUAUGCACUCUAGUGUUUUGAAAAACAUUUUUCAUGCUUUUUGUCUAAUAUCACCACUGGGACACAUUUUCCUGAGGCAGACAGUGCUUUAUAUCUCCCAUUAAGUAAGUUUCAGUUCUUUAAAAAGUAAAUUAAGAAAAUAGGAUGAAAAGCCUAGUACCCAGUAAUUCAUAUCAGACAUGCAACCUGAUCCCAUGCUUGUUUACUCAAAAGUAAGUACCACUAAGAAAUGGAGUCUGCUCUCAAGUCAGGUUCAACUCAUUAGCCACACUUGGCUAACAUGAUGGGACUUUUUAUCUGAGAAAGACAGAGGAUUGAGCUGUUAGGCUAUAUUCCAUGAAUCGUGUACCUGUAACUUCAAAUCACUGAAGGGGAAACUGCAGAUAUUUGUGUAAAACUGACCCGUUUAAUUAUAAUAAAAGAUGAGAGGU
RNAcentral lists this long non-coding RNA (6136 nucleotides) under Podarcis lilfordi (Lilford's wall lizard). The record is from RNAcentral. Lineage: Eukaryota; Metazoa; Chordata; Lepidosauria; Squamata; Lacertidae.